GUUUUGGAGAGAAAUGUAUUCUGUUGAGGAAGCAGAGCAACUCACAACUUUAAUAAGUGCAGCUAAAGAGUAUGGGGUUGAGUUCAUUUAUGCCAUUUCCCCUGGCCUGGACAUUACAUUCUCAAAUCAGAAGGAAGUGUCGGCACUUAAAAGGAAGUUAGACCAGGUCUCUCAUUUUGGGUGCAAGUCCUUUGCCUUACUGUU
Molecule: long non-coding RNA, 204 nt
Organism: Sinocyclocheilus rhinocerous
Lineage: Eukaryota; Metazoa; Chordata; Actinopteri; Cypriniformes; Cyprinidae
Exons: 3
Source: RefSeq, a predicted model, not a curated record